AUGGCGAAACGGCUGCGAUCACCGGAUCGCGGCGACGGCGGGAAGCGGCCGCGGCACGGCCGGAAGCACCUCUACGUCGUGCUGGACGACCGGCAGAAUGGGUACAGCGUCCACAAGGUCGACGCGGACGCCGACGGCGUGGGUCUCGCCGACCCUCCGCUGUUGCAACUCGAAUCCAUGGAGGACUCUGGGGGCGUGCUGGUCGGCGCCCUCGGCAGCAAGAUCCUCGCCCUGUGGCAGCCGACGGCGGACGGGCAGCUCACGACCCACGCCGUCGCGUAUGGCACCGACACCGAUAAGCUGGCCGUCGGCCCCCCGCACCCGGACGCGCUGCUGACCAUGCGCUUCGUCGUCGCCGCCGGGGAGCGGCUCUACGCGCUGCACGAGGGAGGCCUGCACUGCUUGGAGUUGGUAUCGGAGUCGGACUCGGACUCGGACGAGACGCUGCCGUCUGGCGCGGACGAGGCGGAGGAGCACCGGUGGGCGUGGACGAGGGUCUCGUCGCCGCUGCGGCUGCCGGGCUGCGGCGGCGACCCGGAGGAAGACGACGAGCCCAUCGAGAUCACCUCGUACGCACUGCACCCCGACGGGCGCACCAUCUUCGGCCAGGGCCACUACGACGCCGGCCUGGACGCCUGGGUCGGGCUCCACUCGCCGGGGUACAUGUGCGCCUGCGACGUCCCGGCGCCUGUCACCAACGGGCACCACAGCGGCGACGCGCCGCGGCAGCCGGCCUGGGAGCUCGUGAGCGCGGCCAGCCUGCUCUACGCGGACCCAGACCCGAAGGUGAGCGACUCCGCCGCCUGGCUCGUCUGCAUGGGGGGCGGCCAGUUCUGCGUCGUGGAGUCCAUGGCGCUAGCCGAGGCCGAGCAGGAGGACGAGCAUUUGCUGCUCCGUCUCGCCACGCUCCGCCUUGAACGCGAUCUCCAUGGAGGGCUGCGCGCUUCGUCUCGACGCACCCUCGCCUGCCGAGUGCUCAAGUUUGAUCCACUGUUCAGUCCGCGGGCAUUCUGCAUGUAG
This 1020-nucleotide ribosomal RNA is filed under the name Triticum aestivum (bread wheat). RNAcentral's name for it is "partial small subunit ribosomal RNA". Lineage: Eukaryota; Viridiplantae; Streptophyta; Magnoliopsida; Poales; Poaceae. The record is from RNAcentral.